AGGGGCUUUUGGGGGCACUUGUG
Molecule: microRNA, 23 nt
Filed under: Danio rerio (zebrafish)
Lineage: Eukaryota; Metazoa; Chordata; Actinopteri; Cypriniformes; Danionidae
Also listed under: 1 other name
Description: Dre-Mir-193-P2a_5p* (star (passenger))
Source: RNAcentral